UGAAUAUAAUAAACCGUCUCUUAACUUUUAACUAAAAAAGCUAAGAACUGGUUGUUAAAUAUCUUAUUUAACAACCGGUUCUUAGUUUUUUUUUAGUUAAAAGUUAAGAGACGGUUUCUUAUAUUUC
Molecule: microRNA precursor, 127 nt
Organism: Brassica oleracea var. oleracea
Lineage: Eukaryota; Viridiplantae; Streptophyta; Magnoliopsida; Brassicales; Brassicaceae
Rfam family: MIR9563 microRNA precursor family
Source: Rfam